CCGUCCAUUAUCCCAAACAUUCUCUCUCAAAUCUCAAUUCAUUUAAAUUUUUCUCUCUCUCGCUCUUUCCCCUAAAAUAGUCUCCUCUCAAAUCCUUAGUUAUUUUUGGUAAACCCUAUUCUCGGUUGAUUGAGACCUAAGCAUCGAAAGACCAACUCAAUGAUUAAAUUAUCCUUGAGCAAGAGGAAUUUCGUAGCAGUAGCUGAAAGAGAAAUCGUCCAUGUCAACACGCAAAAGAACAUUGAAUCGCCCCAGUCUACAAAGUCUUCCAAAUCAUAAGGUAUACUAUAGGAUGAAGUCUUUUAAUACAUUAAUCUUGCUCAUAUUUAUAAAAUUGAAGGAUCAUGAAGAUCUCCAAGAAAGGAUGGAUCCAAGUCCAUGAACUCAACCAAACAUCUUUCAUAUAAUUUAGUAUCUCCAUUUGUAGUUGUAAAGCAAUGUAAUGUCUCAACAACUUAAAUACUAAUAUUUUGUUUAUGGUGUAUAUUUUAGAUGACAUUAGAUAUCUUAUUUGAACUUUCUUCUAUUUAAAUGUUUUUUGUAUUUAAACUUUAUGUAUUACGGAUAA
Benincasa hispida (wax gourd) is the source of this 568-nucleotide long non-coding RNA. RefSeq lists it as uncharacterized. The record is from RefSeq and is a predicted model, not a curated record. NCBI's taxonomy places the organism in Eukaryota, Viridiplantae, Streptophyta, Magnoliopsida, Cucurbitales, Cucurbitaceae.